AGGACAAAGGGGGCGGGGAGGCCGCCACUAGCAAACAACCUCAGCUUCAUAAAUCCAGCAGAAAGGUCCGGGGUAUUGUUGAAAAGGUCGGAAGGACCAAGAUUAUGUCCGCCAGCCUAAGUGGGACGAACAACCAAGUUGUGCGAUGCAGCUUUAAAGGGGCUGGUGAUUGACAGAAUGGUGUAGUAGUAGAUGGGGUGGAGCCGCUGGGUGGGGUCGAGACUGGCAGCUGAGAGAUACCAAAAGGAAGAAAAAAGAAAACCAUUGCUCUUGAUAUUGCUAAUGCCGGGGGAGGUAAGCUAACGAGAAAGUAGGGAAAAGGAAGGUUUUAGAGUUCACCUCCACUCCUUCCCCUGGCUAACACUCUUUACACUCUUCUGCCUUCCCUUGAGAUAAUUAAAAUAGACUGUACACCGGCCCUAGUCGGUGCCCAUUCCCCCUAACUCUUCACUCAACUACGUGUGUAGUCCGAGGGAGUGAGGACCCCGGGUCCAAGAGCUCAAUCCCGGCCCCGCCCCGUCGGCCCAGGCCCCGGGGCUGGGAGGAGAGGAUGCCUUCGGAGGCGCAGAAUCCGAAAAGAUGUGGUUGGAGCUGGAAGCUGUUAUCCUCAGCAAACUAAUGCAGGAGGAGAAAACCAAAUACUGCAAGUUCUCACUUAUAAGUGGGAACUGAAUGAUGAGAACAUUUGGACAUGGUAAGGGGAGGACAACAUGCAGUGGGGCCUGUUGGGGAGUAUGGCAGGAGGGAAAGCAUCAGGAAAUUCACUAAUAGAUGCUGGGCUUAAUAACUUGAUGAUGGGAUGAUCUGUGCAGCAAACCACCAUGGCACAUGUUUACUAAUGUAACAAACCUGCACAUUCAGCACAUGUACCCCUGAACUUAAAAUAAAGCAAAAUAAAAAUAAAAAUAUAA
RNAcentral lists this long non-coding RNA (911 nucleotides) under Homo sapiens (human). RNAcentral describes it as "HSALNT0407635". The record is from RNAcentral. Lineage: Eukaryota; Metazoa; Chordata; Mammalia; Primates; Hominidae.